CAAUAGCGUAUAUUAAAGUUGUUGCGGUUAAAAAGCUCGUAGUUGGAUUUCUGCCGAGGACGACCGGUCCGCCCUCCGGGUGAGUAUCUGGUUUGGCCUGGGCAUCUUCUUGGAGAACGUAGCUGCACUUGACUGUGUGGUGCGGUGUCCAGGACUUUUACUUUGAGGAAAUUAGAGUGUUUCAAGCAGGCACACGCCUUGAAUACAUUAGCAUGGAAUAAUUGAUAGGACUUCCGUUCUGUCUUUGGUUCUCGGAACGUGAAGUAAUGAUUAAUAGGGGCGGUCGGGGGCAUUCGUAUUGAACAGCCAGAGGUGAAAUUCUUAGAUUUGUUCAAGACGAACUACUGCGAAAGCAUUUGCCAAGUACGUUCCCAUUAA
This 378-nucleotide ribosomal RNA is filed under the name uncultured eukaryote. Its description in RNAcentral is "partial 18S ribosomal RNA". It matches the Rfam family "Eukaryotic small subunit ribosomal RNA", at positions 592 to 976 of the family's 1831-position model. The record is from RNAcentral.